AAAUUGAAGAGUUUGAUCAUGGCUCAGAUUGAACGCUGGCGGCAGGCCUAACACAUGCAAGUCGAGCGGUAGCACAGAGAGCUUGCUCUCGGGUGACGAGCGGCGGACGGGUGAGUAAUGUCUGGGAAACUGCCUGAUGGAGGGGGAUAACUACUGGAAACGGUAGCUAAUACCGCAUAACGUCGCAAGACCAAAGUGGGGGACCUUCGGGCCUCAUGCCAUCAGAUGUGCCCAGAUGGGAUUAGCUAGUAGGUGGGGUAAUGGCUCACCUAGGCGACGAUCCCUAGCUGGUCUGAGAGGAUGACCAGCCACACUGGAACUGAGACACGGUCCAGACUCCUACGGGAGGCAGCAGUGGGGAAUAUUGCACAAUGGGCGCAAGCCUGAUGCAGCCAUGCCGCGUGUGUGAAGAAGGCCUUCGGGUUGUAAAGCACUUUCAGCGGGGAGGAAGGCGUUAAGGUUAAUAACCUUGGCGAUUGACGUUACCCGCAGAAGAAGCACCGGCUAACUCCGUGCCAGCAGCCGCGGUAAUACGGAGGGUGCAAGCGUUAAUCGGAAUUACUGGGCGUAAAGCGCACGCAGGCGGUCUGUCAAGUCGGAUGUGAAAUCCCCGGGCUCAACCUGGGAACUGCAUUCGAAACUGGCAGGCUAGAGUCUUGUAGAGGGGGGUAGAAUUCCAGGUGUAGCGGUGAAAUGCGUAGAGAUCUGGAGGAAUACCGGUGGCGAAGGCGGCCCCCUGGACAAAGACUGACGCUCAGGUGCGAAAGCGUGGGGAGCAAACAGGAUUAGAUACCCUGGUAGUCCACGCCGUAAACGAUGUCGAUUUGGAGGUUGUGCCCUUGAGGCGUGGCUUCCGGAGCUAACGCGUUAAAUCGACCGCCUGGGGAGUACGGCCGCAAGGUUAAAACUCAAAUGAAUUGACGGGGGCCCGCACAAGCGGUGGAGCAUGUGGUUUAAUUCGAUGCAACGCGAAGAACCUUACCUGGUCUUGACAUCCACAGAACUUUCCAGAGAUGGAUUGGUGCCUUCGGGAACUGUGAGACAGGUGCUGCAUGGCUGUCGUCAGCUCGUGUUGUGAAAUGUUGGGUUAAGUCCCGCAACGAGCGCAACCCUUAUCCUUUGUUGCCAGCGGU
This 1133-nucleotide ribosomal RNA is filed under the name Klebsiella pneumoniae. RNAcentral's name for it is "bacterial SSU rRNA". It matches the Rfam family "Bacterial small subunit ribosomal RNA", at positions 1 to 1125 of the family's 1533-position model. The record is from RNAcentral. Lineage: Bacteria; Pseudomonadati; Pseudomonadota; Gammaproteobacteria; Enterobacterales; Enterobacteriaceae.